UCUUCCCUCUGGCGGCGUGCCUAAUACAUGCAAGUCGAGCGAACGGACGAGAAGCUUGCUUCUCAGAUGUUAGCGGCGGACGGGUGAGUAACACGUGGAUAACCUACCUAUAAGACUGGUAUAACUUCGGGAAACCGGAGCUAAUACCGGAUAAUAUUUUGAACCGCAUGGUUCAAAAGUGAAAGACGGUCUUGCUGUCACUUAUAGAUGGAUCCGCGCUGCAUUAGCUAGUUGGUAAGGUAACGGCUUACCAAGGCAACGAUGCAUAGCCGACGUGAGAGGGUGAUCGGCCACACUGGAAGUGAGACACGGUCCAGACUCCUACGGGAGGGAGCAGUAGCGAAUCGGCCGCAGUGGGCGAGAGCAUGACGGAGUAACGGCGAGUGAGUGAUGGAGGUCUCCGGAUCGUAAAACUCUGUUAUUAGGGAAGAACAUAUGUGUAAGUAACUGUGCACAUCUUGACGGUACCUAGUCAGAAAGCCACGGCUAACUACGUG
Molecule: ribosomal RNA, 497 nt
Filed under: uncultured bacterium
Lineage: Bacteria
Description: partial 16S ribosomal RNA
Rfam family: Bacterial small subunit ribosomal RNA
Source: RNAcentral